CUCCAGACUCCUACGGGAGGCAGCAGUGGGGGAUAUUGCACAAUGGGGGGAACCCUGAUGCAGCGACGCCGCGUGGGUGAAGAAGUAUUUCGGUAUGUAAAGCCCUAUCGGCAGGGAAGAAAUUGGACGGUACCUGACUAAGAAGCCCCGGCUAACUACGUGCCAGCAGCCGCGGGAAUACGUAGGGGGCAAGCGUUAUCCGGAUUCACUGGGUGUAAAGGGGGCGCAGGCGGCGAUGCAAGCCAGGAGUGAAAGCCCGGGGCCCAACCCCGGGACUGCUUUUGGAACUGCGUGGCUGGAGUGCAGGAGGGGCAGGCGGAAUUCCUGGUGUAGCGGUGAAAUGCGUAGAUAUCAGGAGGAACACCGGUGGCGAAGGCGGCCUGCUGGACUGCAACUGACGUUGAGGCCCGAAAGCGUGGGGAGCAAACAGGAUUAGAUACCCCUGUA
RNAcentral lists this ribosomal RNA (447 nucleotides) under uncultured bacterium. Its description in RNAcentral is "bacterial SSU rRNA". It matches the Rfam family "Bacterial small subunit ribosomal RNA", at positions 329 to 792 of the family's 1533-position model. The record is from RNAcentral.